Long non-coding RNA from Dama dama (fallow deer), 301 nucleotides. RefSeq lists it as uncharacterized. The transcript has 3 exons. Lineage: Eukaryota; Metazoa; Chordata; Mammalia; Artiodactyla; Cervidae. The record is from RefSeq and is a predicted model, not a curated record.
ACGUGAUCUGUUGGCUCAAGUUCUACAGCCUCACCUUUGAAACAGAGCCAGGUUCUCAUCUGCUUUUGCUGGAUGUGCCUGUGUUAAAAGGCGCAGGGACCUGAAGAUUUCUAGUGAAGCCUGGGGGGAAAACAGACCAGCUUACUAAAGGGAAAGACACGGCAGUUCUACCCAAGAGCAGCAAAUACUCAUUGCUUCAUAGGACAGAGCUCUAGAAGGAUUCAGGCCCUGGCACUGUGUCCUGCAUCCAUUCUUCUGAAGCAAAUCCCUUGCCCCCUGCCUCCAGUUUCCGUAUCUGUAA